AGCAGCCGCGGUAAUUCCAGCUCCAAUAGCGUAUAUUAAAGUUGUUGCAGUUAAAAAGCUCGUAGUUGAACUUCGGGAUUUAUUCAUUGGUCAGGCUUAAUUGUCUGUACUGGUGAGAUAAAUCUCUACCUUCUGAGGAACUUUCAUGCCAUUUUAUUUGGUGUGAUUGGAAAUCAGGACUGUUACUUUGAAAAAUUAGAGUGUUUAAAGCAGGCUAACGUCUGAAUACAUUAGCAUGGAAUAAUGAAAUAGGACGGACUGGUUCUAUUUUGUUGGUUUCUAGGAUCACCGUAAUGAUUAAUAGGGAUAGUUGGGGGCAUUAGUAUUCAAUUGUCAGAGGUGAAAUUCUUAGGAUUUAUUGAAGACUAACUACUGCGAAAGCAUUUGCCAAGGAUGUUUU
RNAcentral lists this ribosomal RNA (400 nucleotides) under uncultured Diversispora. RNAcentral's name for it is "SSU rRNA". It matches the Rfam family "Eukaryotic small subunit ribosomal RNA", at positions 569 to 970 of the family's 1831-position model. Lineage: Eukaryota; Fungi; Glomeromycota; Glomeromycetes; Diversisporales; Diversisporaceae. The record is from RNAcentral.